RNAcentral lists this ribosomal RNA (404 nucleotides) under Actinomycetes bacterium. RNAcentral's name for it is "Actinobacteria bacterium partial 16S ribosomal RNA". It matches the Rfam family "Bacterial small subunit ribosomal RNA", at positions 355 to 776 of the family's 1533-position model. Lineage: Bacteria; Bacillati; Actinomycetota; Actinomycetes. The record is from RNAcentral.
UGGGGAAUAUUGGACAAUGGGCGCAAGCCUGAUCCAGCCAUGCCGCGUGAGUGAUGAAGGCCCUAGGGUUGUAAAGCUCUUUCACCGGUGAAGAUAAUGACGGUAACCGGAGAAGAAGCCCCGGCUAACUUCGUGCCAGCAGCCGCGGUAAUACGAAGGGGGCUAGCGUUGUUCGGAUUUACUGGGCGUAGAGCGCACGUAGGCGGACUAUUAAGUCAGGGGUGAAAUCCCGGGGCUCAACCCCGGAACUGCCUUUGAUACUGGUAGUCUUGAGUUCGAGAGAGGUGAGUGGAAUUCCGAGUGUAGAGGUGAAAUUCGUAGAUAUUCGGAGGAACACCAGUGGCGAAGGCGGCUCACUGGCUCGAUACUGACGCUGAGGUGCGAAAGCGUGGGGAGCAAACAGG